Molecule: ribosomal RNA, 252 nt
Filed under: uncultured bacterium
Lineage: Bacteria
Description: partial 16S ribosomal RNA
Rfam family: Bacterial small subunit ribosomal RNA
Source: RNAcentral
UACGGAGGAUGCGAGCGUUAUCCGGAUUUAUUGGGUUUAAAGGGUGCGUAGGCGGACGCUUAAGUCAGCGGUAAAAUUGCGGGGCUCAACCUCGUCGAGCCGUUGAAACUGGGUGUCUCGAGUGGGCGAGAAGUACGCGGAAUGCGUGGUGUAGCGGUGAAAUGCAUAGAUAUCACGCAGAACUCCGAUUGCGAAGGCAGCGUACCGGCGCCCAACUGACGCUGAAGCACGAAGGCGUGGGUAUCGAACAGG